GAUGAAGAACGUAGCGAAAUGCGAUAAGUAAUGUGAAUUGCAGAAUUCAGUGAAUCAUCGAAUCUUUGAACGCACAUUGCGCCCGCCAGUAUUCUGGCGGGCAUGCCUGUUCGAGCGUCAUUUCAACCAUCAAGCCCUGCUUGCGUUGGGGUCCUGCGGCUGCCCACAGGCCCUGAAAACCAGUGGCGGGCUCGCUAGUCACACCGAGCGCAGUAAUACAUCUCGCUUUGGGCGUGCGGCGGGUUCUUGCCGUUAAACACCCCCUUUUUACCAAGGUUGACCUCGGAUCAGGUAGGAAUACCCGCUGAACUUAAGCAUAUCAAUAAGCGGAGGA
This 334-nucleotide unclassified non-coding RNA is filed under the name soil metagenome. RNAcentral describes it as "partial contains 5.8S ribosomal RNA, internal transcribed spacer 2, and large subunit ribosomal RNA". The stretch from base 1 to 120 matches the Rfam family "5.8S ribosomal RNA", at positions 35 to 154 of the family's 154-position model. The record is from RNAcentral.